Molecule: ribosomal RNA, 511 nt
Filed under: uncultured bacterium
Lineage: Bacteria
Description: bacterial SSU rRNA
Rfam family: Bacterial small subunit ribosomal RNA
Source: RNAcentral
GCCCUUAGAGUUUGAUCCUGGCUCAGGAUGAACGCUAGCUACAGGCUUAACACAUGCAAGUCGAGGGGCAGCAUGAUUGAAGCUUGCUUCAAUCGAUGGCGACCGGCGCACGGGUGAGUAACACGUAUCCAACCUGCCGAUAACUCGGGGAUAGCCUUUCGAAAGAAAGAUUAAUACCCGAUAGUAUAGUAUUUCCGCAUGGUUUCACUAUUAAAGAAUUUCGGUUAUCGAUGGGGAUGCGUUCCAUUAGAUAGUUGGCGGGGUAACGGCCCACCAAGUCAACGAUGGAUAGGGGUUCUGAGAGGAAGGUCCCCCACAUUGGAACUGAGACACGGUCCAAACUCCUACGGGAGGCAGCAGUGAGGAAUAUUGGUCAAUGGACGAGAGUCUGAACCAGCCAAGUAGCGUGAAGGAUGACUGCCCUAUGGGUUGUAAACUUCUUUUAUACGGGAAUAAAGUGGAGUAUGCAUACUCCUUUGUAUGUACCGUAGAAUAAGGAUCGGCAACUCUG